Molecule: small nuclear RNA, 142 nt
Organism: Callithrix jacchus (white-tufted-ear marmoset)
Lineage: Eukaryota; Metazoa; Chordata; Mammalia; Primates; Cebidae
Gene: U1
Rfam family: U1 spliceosomal RNA
About the family: U1 is a small nuclear RNA (snRNA) component of the spliceosome (involved in pre-mRNA splicing). Its 5' end forms complementary base pairs with the 5' splice junction, thus defining the 5' donor site of an intron.
Source: Ensembl
UCUAUUACCUGGCAGAGGAGAUACCAUGAUCACAAAGGUAGUUUUCCCAGAGCGAGGUUAUCUAUUGCAUUCCGGAUGUGCUGACCCCUGCGAUUUCCCCAAUGUUUGUGGUAGUGGGGGACUGCAUUCACGCUUUCCCCUG